Cyphellophora europaea CBS 101466 is the source of this 109-nucleotide transfer RNA. It matches the Rfam family "tRNA". From Rfam's summary of the family: Transfer RNA (tRNA) molecules are approximately 80 nucleotides in length. Their secondary structure includes four short double-helical elements and three loops (D, anti-codon, and T loops). Further hydrogen bonds mediate the characteristic L-shaped molecular structure. tRNAs have two regions of fundamental functional importance: the anti-codon, which is responsible for specific mRNA codon recognition, and the 3' end, to which the tRNAs corresponding amino acid is attached (by aminoacyl-tRNA synthetases). tRNAs cope with the degeneracy of the genetic code in two manners: having more than one tRNA (with a specific anti-codon) for a particular amino acid; and 'wobble' base-pairing, i.e. permitting non-standard base-pairing at the 3rd anti-codon position. The record is from Rfam. NCBI's taxonomy places the organism in Eukaryota, Fungi, Ascomycota, Eurotiomycetes, Chaetothyriales, Cyphellophoraceae.
GGUGCCGUGGUGUAGUGGUAGCACGUAACGUUGUGGCAAACAACUCACAUAUCAUAUGUGGUUCUCUACGAUUCCCGUUCCGACGGCGGUUCGAUUCCGCCCGGCGCCA